GGGCAUGUGGCACAGUGGUUAGCGCGCACGCUUUGCAUUCGCAGAUUGCGUGAGGCCGUGGGUUCAAAUCCCACCCUGUCCA
Non-coding RNA from Athelia sp. TMB, 82 nucleotides. The record is from the annotation of a GenBank genome assembly. NCBI's taxonomy places the organism in Eukaryota, Fungi, Basidiomycota, Agaricomycetes, Atheliales, Atheliaceae.